This 250-nucleotide ribosomal RNA is filed under the name uncultured bacterium. Its description in RNAcentral is "partial 16S ribosomal RNA". It matches the Rfam family "Bacterial small subunit ribosomal RNA", at positions 524 to 773 of the family's 1533-position model. The record is from RNAcentral.
UACAGAGGGUGCAAGCGUUGUUCGGAAUUACUGGGCGUAAAGGGCGCGUAGGCGGUCUUGCAAGUCAGAUGUGAAAGCCCAGGGCUUAACCCUGGAAGUGCAUUUGAAACUGCAAGACUUGAGUGAUGUAGAGGUUGGUGGAAUUCCUAGUGGAGAGGUGAAAUUCGUAGAUAUUAGGAGGAACACCGGUGGCGAAGGCGGCCAACUGGGCAUUAACUGACGCUGAGGCGCGAGAGCAUGGGUAGCAAAC